This 497-nucleotide ribosomal RNA is filed under the name uncultured bacterium. RNAcentral's name for it is "partial 16S ribosomal RNA". It matches the Rfam family "Bacterial small subunit ribosomal RNA", at positions 28 to 507 of the family's 1533-position model. The record is from RNAcentral.
GAUGAACGCUGGCGGCGUGCCUAAUACAUGCAAGUCGAGCGAAAAGACGAGGAGCUUGCUCCUCUGACGUUAGCGGCGCACGGGUGAGAAACACGUGGAUAACCUACCUAUAAGACGGGGAUAAUUACGGGAAACCGGAGCUAAUACCGGAUAAUAUACUGAUCCGUAUGGUGCGUUGGUGAAUGACGGCUUUGGUGUCACUUAUAGAUGGAUCCGCGCCGCAUUAGCUAGUUGGUAAGGAAACGGCUUACCAAGGCAACGAUGCGUAGCCGACCUGAGAGGGUGGUCGGCCACAUGGGAACUGGGACACGGUCCAGACUCCUGCGAUACGCAGCAGUAGGGAAUGUUCGGCAAUGGGCGGAAGCCUGGCGGAGCAGCGCCGCGUGAGUGGUGGAGGUGUUCGGUUCGUAAAACUCUGUUAUUAGGUGUGAACAGAUGUGUAAGUAGCUAUGCACGUCUUGACGGUACCUAAUCAGAAAGCCACGGCUAACUACGUG